RNAcentral lists this ribosomal RNA (253 nucleotides) under uncultured bacterium. RNAcentral's name for it is "partial 16S ribosomal RNA". It matches the Rfam family "Bacterial small subunit ribosomal RNA", at positions 524 to 776 of the family's 1533-position model. The record is from RNAcentral.
UACAGAGGUGGCAAGCGUUGUUCGGAAUUACUGGGCGUAAAGGGCGAGUAGGUGGCCAUCUAAGUCAGACGUGAAAUCCCCCGGCUUAACCUGGGAACUGCGUCUGAUACUGGACGGCUUGAGUAUGGGAGAGGAACGUAGAAUUCCAGGUGUAGCGGUGAAAUGCGUAGAUAUCGGGAGGAACACCGGUGGCGAAGGCGGCCCCCUGGUUGGAUACUGACGCUGAGACGCGAAAGCGUGGGGAGCAAACAGG